This 253-nucleotide ribosomal RNA is filed under the name uncultured bacterium. Its description in RNAcentral is "partial 16S ribosomal RNA". It matches the Rfam family "Bacterial small subunit ribosomal RNA", at positions 524 to 776 of the family's 1533-position model. The record is from RNAcentral.
GACAGAGGUGCCGAGCGUUAGGCGGAAUCACUGGGCUUAAAGCGUGUGUAGGCGGGUCGUUAAGUGUCUUGUGAAAUCCCCCGGCUCAACUGGGGAAUGGCUGGGCAUACUGGCGAUCUUGAGCAGUCUAGGGGCAGAUGGAACAAGUGGUGGAGCGGUGAAAUGCGUAGAUAUCACUUGGAACGCCAAAGGUGAAAACAGUCUGCUGGGGACUUGCUGACGCUGAGACACGAAAGCCAGGGGAGCGAACGGG